This 575-nucleotide long non-coding RNA is filed under the name Vigna radiata. RNAcentral's name for it is "long non-coding RNA (VRAD_LNC016311)". The record is from RNAcentral. Lineage: Eukaryota; Viridiplantae; Streptophyta; Magnoliopsida; Fabales; Fabaceae.
UCUGAUGCAAAGUAAUGUCGGAAACAUGAGAGCAUUGUUGGAUGUUGGCAUGAGUAAAUGCCAUCCAGUAUUUAGCUAGGGGAGUUAAAUCUGCCCUAAGGAUGUUCACCGGUGCUCCGUUCGGGUUUCUCUGAAAAUGCCUCCCAGGGAUGCACAUCACUCGCUCAAUCUCCUCAUAAUCCCUGGCCUUCCUCAGUAUAGCGACAUACAUGCACUGCUCUCCUGGCCACUAAGUCCCCAGAAAAACAUUGAUGGUGUCAGGAUUGUUGGUAUCAGAGUGGGUAUAGUUCGAAGAGUAUAACGCAGCGGAAUAAAACUUAGAGUAAGCAGAAAACAUGUUCGGUCACAAAAAUAGUUCCUUUAUCAGUUUUAAAUUUCAUGUAAAACUUUUAUCGAACAAUUGGAGUGCUAAAAGAUUAAGGAGUGUAGGGAAGAGAAAAAUCACACAAAUGAUUUUUAUACUGGUUCGAAUCAAAAGAUUCUACGUCCAGUUGUUAAUCACUAUAAAAAGUGAUUAACUAUUUUCACUAAAAAUAUAGUUGUACAGAUUACAAGAUAAUGAAAUGAGUAAGGGA